UACGUAGGGGGCAAGCGUUACUCGGAAUGACUGGGCGUAAAGGGUGAGUAGGCGGCUGAGCAAGUCAGGGAUGAAAGCCCGAGGCUCAACUUGGGAAUUGUCCUUGAGACGGCUCAGCUUGAGGGUAGUUGAGGAGAGUGGAAUUCCCGGUGGAGCGGUGAAAUGCGUAGAUAUCGGGAGGAGCACCGGUGGCGAAGGCGGCUCGCUAAGCCGUUCCUGACGCUGAAUCACGAAAGCUAGGGGAGCAAACGGG
Molecule: ribosomal RNA, 253 nt
Filed under: uncultured bacterium
Lineage: Bacteria
Description: partial 16S ribosomal RNA
Rfam family: Bacterial small subunit ribosomal RNA
Source: RNAcentral